CCAGCCGCGGUCACGCUACGUCCCUUUCUACCCCUCUCCCCACCCUUACCCGGGGCCCCGGGCCCCUGGGUGACAGGAAAAGGAAUGAGGAGCAGGAGCUGUGAGGGGACUGAGACCGCGUCAGGGAGAGGGGCCGGAAGGACACAGUCACGGUCCAGACAGGAGGCGGCUGGCGCCAGGGGCAAGGCAGCAGCCGACCGGAGAAGCGGUGAAAGAGCUGGAUGUAUGACUAAUUUGAGAUGAGUCACUACAGUUCCUGCAUCCGAGGCUCCGGACUGCCAGAGGUUCUCUUGCAACCCCUCCAAGCCGACCCAGGUCUCUGGGAGGCCAGGACCAUCACUCUGUCCUUUCACUCUUCUCCAGGUGGAUUUUGGUCUGUGCCUCAGCUAACAUAAGAGUUGUCAUCUGACUUCCUUGGGGAGACAGUAAGCAAAUUCAAUGCAACACAAUUAACACCAAAGAACCAGCUGGACUGAGCAAUAAGCUCCACAGAAAGCUGUCUCAUGUGAGUCAUAUUUCUUUUGGGUUACAUUUAAUGCUAAAUUGUCAAUAGGACUUGACAGCUUUCCUAGAUUCAUCUUGUUUCAAUUAAUGCUAAAAUUAUUAUCUUUUUGAUGCUUAAAUUAUAGCUGCUUGUCAGUGGAAGCCCCUUUAAAUUGGCCCCUUGGUCCUUUCAGCAUUGCCCUGGCAAUUUGAGAGCAUCCUUGUUUCCUGGUAGAAACUCACACUUCGGGUCUAUCUAUAAUUUUUCCUGGAUGCAGGAGAAUGUUCAGGGAGAUUGAAUUUUAGUGAAGAGUAAAAGAAAAGAACCAAAUCUGGGUGUCAGGACAGUGCAUGGGGCCAAAAGUCCCUGGCUCCCCCACUUCUGAGGUACCCUAGGGAAAUCCUUUAAAGGAUGUAAGCUUACACUGAGAGCUCUAUUUAAUUGUAGCUUUGCUAGAUCUUUACUUUUUUUUUUUCAAAUAAACCUCAACAUUAUUACUCUAUAAAAUUAUUUAC
Physeter macrocephalus (sperm whale) is the source of this 999-nucleotide long non-coding RNA. RefSeq lists it as uncharacterized. Lineage: Eukaryota; Metazoa; Chordata; Mammalia; Artiodactyla; Physeteridae. The record is from RefSeq and is a predicted model, not a curated record. The transcript is spliced from 3 exons.